Molecule: long non-coding RNA, 1296 nt
Organism: Esox lucius (northern pike)
Lineage: Eukaryota; Metazoa; Chordata; Actinopteri; Esociformes; Esocidae
Source: Ensembl
AAAAAAUGGAUGUAAAUUAUUUGUUUAUUAUGAUAUCCUGUUACACUGGGUUAUAAAUAUUAUAUAGAAAUUCCCUUAGUCAUCCAUCAACAUGGGAAGCCAGAGAACACACAAAUAAAUUGACAAAAGGUUGUUGAUCUUCACAAAUCAUACAAUGAAAGUUAGCAACACACCUGAAAACCAGUUUCUAUGGCCUGAUGAGACUUAAUCGUAGCGUUUUGGCAGCAAACAUCAGAGGUGGAUUUUUCAUUAAAAAAGCCAUGGUCAUGUAGAAAAUAACAUAAUCCCAAUGUGAAUUAUGGUGGUGGAUCUGUGAAGUAUGGUGGUAGAUCUGUGGAGUACAGUAUGAUGGUGGAUCUGUGAAGUAUGGUGGUAGAUCUGUGAAGUACAGUAUGAUGGUGGAUCUGUGAAGUAUGGUGGUAGAUCUGUGAAAAAUAGUGGUAGAUCUGUGAAGUACAGUAUGAUGGUGGUGGAUCUGAAGUAUGGUGGUAGAUCUGUGAAGUACAGUAUGGUGGUAGAUCUGUGACGUAUGGUGGUAGAUCUGUGAAGUACAGUAUGAUGGUGGUGGAUCUGUGAAGUAUGGUGGUAGAUCUGUGAAGUACAGUAUGAUGGUGGAUCUGUGAAGUUGUGGGCUGUUUUACUUAUAAAGGCCUAGGAGCCUAAUUAGGAUAGAUGACAACAUGAACACUAUUAAGUAUCAGGAGAUUGUUGGCCAAAUACUGUCUGUCUCUGCCCGGAGACUAAAGGUGUGGGCAUGCUUUGUUGUGAUGAUGGCAUGCUUCAUUUUUAUGAGGGUAUGCUUCAUUGUGAUCAAGUCAUACUUGGUUGUCAUGAUGGCAUGCUUGGUUGUCGUGAGGCCAUGCUUGGUUGUCAUUAGGGUAUGCUUGGUUGUCAUGAGGGUAUGCUUGGUUGUCAUUAGGGUAUGCUUGGUUGUCAUGAGGGUAUGCUUCAUUGUCAUGAGGGUAUGCUUGGUUGUUUGGUUUAUUAGCCCUGUUUCCCCAAAGAUAAGUAACGUAAUUUUAACAGCUAAAGCUAUAGACUUAUACUUGUGUUAACACGACCAAGAAUGAUAACAGUGUACAGAUAUUAUGACAUGAUAACACCUUGCUAGUUGUGUAACUGAAACGGAUUAUGUCAUUGAUUUUAUUUUUUUAGAAAAGAAAGAACAUUAUUGGAAAAUAACAUAAUUUGCAUUCAUCAGUUAGCUUUUCUUUCUGGCCAGCUUUCCCAGCUAAACAGACAAGAUCCAGGACCUACAAUAACUAGAGGACCUAACUAGUGGACUUAACCAGAGGC